UCAUGUGAUGAGUGAGCAGCUGGCUCAUGGGUUGGGACGAGAGAGUUAUAGGGAAUCAGGGAACAUCAGAAUAGUCACCUGUCAUUAGUGGAGUUUUGCAGGGCUCCAUCUUAGGGGCAGGUUCUCUUCAACACCUUCACAAAUGACCCGCAUGCAGACCUGGAAGGAACACUAAGUGCGACAACAGCAAUAAGCUGGGAGGAGCUGUUGACUGCCUCUAAAGAAGAGAGGCCACCUUGACAGAUUAAAGGCCUGGACAAUCACCACCUGUGUGAAGUUCCAUGAGGGAAGGUGCUGGAUUCUGCCGCUGGGAUGGUCCUGGGGCUCCUGGUCAGUGGCCAGCUGGACACGAGCCAGCAGUGUCCUGGAGCCAGGAGGGACAUCCCUGUCCUGGGGCACAGGCCCCGCAUGGCCGGCCGGGCCAGGGAGGGAUUGUCCUGCUCUGCUCUGGGCCGGGGCGGCCUCACCUGCAAUACUGGGUGCAGUUUUGGGCAUGACAAUAUAAAAAUGACGUUAAACUCCCAGAGACCAAAGGAUGCCAUGAGGAUGAUGAGGGGCCUGAAGAUUAGCUGCUGUCUGGAGUCUGCUUUGGAAACUACAGGAGAACCAUCAUCUACCCACAGGUUAUGGGACCUGCAAAUCAUGCAAACAAUGUGUAAACUCAAGUGAUGGUGAUGAGAAUUAAAUGCAUGAGAUACUAUUUUGUCAUUACUUUCACUCCACCCUUCACUGAGGGUGAAGGCUAACAUGAAGGCUGAGGGCAGCCUCCAUGAAGCAAAAUCCUUACUGUUUUUAAAUGUCUAAAUCCCAGAGGCUGUUAAUCUUUUUCAUAAUUUGGUUAUUACUGAGGGACAGCAGUACUGCUGAUGAAAACAAAAUGACUGAUCUGAUGAGCUCCACUUGUGACUCAGGAAAGGAGGAGAUGAUGGGGCAGGGUGAUCUAGAUAUCAGGUGCAAUGCUAUGUGCAAUGCAGUAAAUCAAAUCUCUUCCACUCUUACUCCUACACACAGGGAAACUAAUUGUAUGACUCUACACAGUGCAGAUGCAAACACAAGAUGUUUGGAAGCUGAGCCUUGACUUCGAGCUAACACAACAUUCAACUAGUUCAGUGCAUAAUCACUGUUGGAAAUCCAUGCAUGGAUAUUUUGUUCCAGGGGGGUGCAAUAUAGGCUGGGUUUUAAAAUAUAUCCGAAGAGGUUUAGCUUCUCAGAUUCCACUGAAAGAUGAUGAAAGUUGGGCCCUUCCUUUCCUCUGUUUCUUUUAAAAGGUCCUGUAAAGACAGACCCUUCCAUCAGCAAGCAUGGUGUGUGGUGGUCAUGCUUCUGACAGGUGUCUGUAGUGUUUUUGAACAGUGCAACAAGCUGAGCUGAGGAAAUUGCCAUUAGCUUUUCUGGGAAAGGUAAACUCUCAUCAUCUCUAAAGGUAAGUACAUGUUGACGACUGCUCCCAAAAAAGAAUAAUGGCUUAGGCUCUCAGCUACUAUAAAAUUACAGGGGUGAAUUCAAAGAACCAAGCUCAUUAACACAAACUACAGAGCUGAUGAACCUUUAGUAGCUGGAAAUGCUGGGCUUUGGAUGUUAUGAUUAGACUUCUGAUAGUAAAGAGAGGCAUGAGAGAUCAAGAAAGCAAUUAAUUCUGUCUCAAAACAAACCAUAUCUGACUCACCAGCAUGAGCAGCAGAAAAGAUCUCUAAAAUUUGUCCUUUGAAACCAGAGUGCUAUAACAGAGCUGCUUGACUAAAGAGAAUGAAAAUGCACAAAAUGCACUCCUUCUUGCCUGGCUCUGUUUCCAAACUGCAAUCCCUUUCUUUUCAGCUGAUAUGGAAUAACACCCAAGUCAAAUAAUUUUCAUCUGUUUUCAUUUCUCAGGUAUGUGAGAUCAUUCAGAGUGAGCAUUGCGGAAUUACUCAAAAUGUAUAACAAAUUAUCUAUCUUCUGACUGAUCUCGAUGCAUCUGUACAGCUCCAUAAUAUGAAAAUAAGUUAAUUGUUGUAACACACUACACAUGCUCUAGCUUCUUACAAAUGGAGAGCAUUCCCUGAGCUUCCAAAGAAGAGUAAGGUCGCACAGGUGUGAAAUACCUGAACAUCUGACAUGUUUAUUAAGGAUGUGAAGUUAUCCUGUGUGGAAGUAAAGUCUCCAAAUGUAUGAUGUUUGUCAGGGGCUCUGCAGGCGUUGUUUCCCUAACAAAGAAAGUUUUGCAUGCAUUUCCCAGAGGGAAGGUGAUUCACCAUGCCAGGUUGAAACCCAGCACACUGCAAUGUAAGCAGCUCAUGAGACUUGGUGGCACAGUGUAUGGAAAUCCAGGCAUGACUCACACACUCAAUAUAGGAUUGCGAGGAGGUAUUUGCAGUAAUUGAGCAGAACUUUAGCAUCAUAUCCCCGCUGUUCCGUGCAGAAGUACCAUGCAAGAGUAAUCCUUUCUGAUUCAGCCAAGUGUUCAGGGAUGUGCUUGAUCCCAUACACGCACUUAAACAGGACAGCAGACUGAUUUAACCAAGUAAAUAGGAUUAGGGGUAGGCUUAAUGGUUUUGCAUCACACGCAGACUGUGCUUUAACGAAUUGCUAAAGCAAAGAAUGCCUUUUGUUUUCUGAAUUGAUUUUUCUCAAGCCUGGGGGGCUGAGGAAAGGGAACAAUCCAAUUGCAGAGACAAUCUUGGACAGCAAUGGGAGAUCCCUGCAAUUUUUCUGUAGCCAUCAGUGGACUGGAGUGCUCCAUUGUCUGAACACACAGGCAAGAGCUUCAGCCCAGCUUUGCAAAAGGUGGACUCAGCACGGCUCAGCACCAUCCUGGGAGCGAGAAGAGGGAACAAAUGAGGGAAAUGUUAACACUGUCUAACUGUAGACACAUAAAUUCAGCUCCUGAAUGAAGAGUGUGAUUCACAAUUGCUGUAUACAACUGGAGACAGACAGUCUCCUCCGUAGUGUGACUCAGAAUGACCUCUGGAACUUACAGAUGCUCCAGAGGAGGCUACCUCUAUUAAUUUUACAGCAAAUACAAAUAAAUAUUCAAGGUAUUAUGAAUACUUCUUCCUGAAAAGCUUCAAAUUUGAUGCUCAAAGUCUUGAAAGAAUUUUGACUGCAAUGUUUUUGCUAGAGACUUAAGAUCCAGUGUUUGCAGAGCCCAUUACACUCUUCUUGGUUGUGUUACAAAGCCAGCAAUGUUUCACUGUCUAAACUGUUCAAAGCCCCCUGCAGAGUUAUGGCUAUCUUCUGCAUUAUAAGAGUAGAGUUGGUUUUCCAUUAGAGUAAUAGCAAAAAUACAGAAUUCUUUGGGAAAUUCUUCACCCCCAACUGCUAAAGGGAUAACCAAGCAAGCAAAUCUCCCUUCCUCUUCUGACCCACUCCAAAACAACUUGUGCUAUUAAUACUACUAUGAUGGAAAAUCCAAUCUGAAAUUUAGCUUUAAACUCUGUUUUACCAAAUUAGUGCUGCAGCUUCUUGCUUCUUGCUGUUCCUGCUAAGAAUUGUUACAUUCCAGCAUCAAAGAGACUUUACAUGGAGUUGUACAUGGAUGGAGUUCUUUCAUGUGCACGUGUGUGUAUUUUUCUACAUAAAAAAUGAACUCUGGAUUCUGGGUCAUGAAUGGCACAUUUAACAGGCAUUUCAGAAUGAUGAGAAAGGGAGAGUCAAUGCCAGCUCAAUAAAAAAAGAUCCAUGGGUCAGCAUCACCAGCCUCCAGGUAUAGCCAUGUAAAACAUCACAGCUAUCACAGAGGAAACAUGCAUCGCUAUGCAGUCUUAAGCUCUACUUGUUCUUCAGUGGAAAAGAAUAUGUUUCAUGUGACAAGCAAAAUUAUAUGCAUUGUUCAUUAUUAAUAUACACACAUUUAAUAUUCUACAGCAGUUGAAUACAAUUUUUUUUAUCAUUCCACUCGUGUGAGAUUUGAAGUUAUUUAUGCAAAUUAUAAGAUAUAUGCAGCACGUAAAACAUGAGAAGCGAAGAGAAAUAAGAUGUACUCGGCGAUACAGGUUUUAAAUUUGGAAAGACAAGCCACAUCAACUACAGAAAAUCAUAUAGUAUCUUUGAGAACAAAGGCUGCAGUCCAGAAAAGUACUGGUGUAUCCCAGCACCUGCCCUGAUUUCAUUUAGAGUGAUGGUAACUCUUCCUUGGUUCUUCAGGUUAAGCUGUGCUCAGGUGCUUCACCUGAGCAGCAGUGAAGGAUCCAGGGAUUAGAGCUGUUGUCAAUCCCAGCACUGGCUGACUUUAAGCAGAAUGGGAAACAGACAGACCUUUGCAAAAUCAAUCCUUGAAUCCUGAGAGACAAACAGGCAAAGUUAAACCAACCUGUGUUGCUGAAGGCUGGAGAGCAAGGUAUUCCCUUAAGAAGAUAUUGCUGACUAUCAAAGAGAAGGCACUGGCUGUGGACCACUGGAUUUGUCCAAUAUGACAACUGCUACAAGCAAACAGCCACUUAAGGAAGUCACCCUGAACUAAUGUCAAGUAGAAGUGUGCAAUCUGUCAUUUCAUGGAUUAGGAAAAAGAAAAAAAAAAAAAAAAAAAAGGAGAAAAAACAGCCUCUGGAGAAAUGAAUCCUGUAGAACUGAGAUCAUAAAAAAGCUUCCAGCAUUUAGCCACUUCAAAUUUAUCUGAACCUUUUGAAGACUUCUCUUCCACUGCUCUUUGAACAUAUUUUUCUUACACCCCUGUCUGGGUGUUAAUCAGUCUGGUCACAUCUAACAGCCUAAAAUUUCUUUCAACUUUUCCAUUCUUCCUCCUCCCCCACCCGAGUGUAUGCUGCUUGCUGGGUAAUAUGGAUUGCUGGACUGUUUUCCCUACUGUUAUUUCCCUUUUCUAGAUAAAUCAUCCCGCAUGGAUCUGUAGUUUGCAUUUGCAAAUGAGCACAGAUCAUAUGCAAAUAGCUGUGGAAGAACCUCCUCUGUAGAUGCAAGAGCCUUAAAAUAUGAACACAGUGGGAGUUCAGACAUCUUUGCAGCUUCAUCCAUUUUGCCAAGCUUUGAAAAAUCUGACGUCUUCAUAUUAUGAGUGAGAUAUUUUAUUUAAACAGAUCAUGACAGCAUAAUGCAUUAUGGCAAUGGCAACCUGCAAAUCUGACAUCCAUGACAGCUCAGUGGAGUAACUGGGAGCCGACAAAACACCACGCUGAAAUGGUGGGAACGACAGUUAUGGGUGUCAGUUGCCACCCCUCAUUUAAAAGGAAAAAGGGGGAAAAAUGGAAAAAGAAGGACUGUGCAAAUAACUUCCUCUGAGCUAAAUAACCACUUGCAACUGAUACUUGCAUCAUGAUUAUUUCAUAAACAACUAGCAGAUUGAAUCACUGAUUAAAAACCAAAAGUAAAAUAUUGAUUGAUGGGCAAGAAAGAUUUUACUUGUUUUCAAAUUUAACUUGCGGUGACAGUCGAGAAGGAAGGUGUUGAAACAAAAAGGACAGCAGUUUGCAUAACUUGACUGACAUGACCUUUUGAAUGUUGUUGUGUAAGUGGAAACAAUAUGCUGCAAAUAUUGUUGGGUAUAGUUUUGUGUAUUCCUACUUUCACUCUACUCAAUCCCUCUCCUUCCCUGGGUAAACAGUAAUAAGUAAUUAGUCCUUCAUUCCUUAAAAGAUAUUGUCUUAAGUCUAGGUAAGUUAUAAGUUGUUGCUAUUAUUGUUGUUGUUGUUAAUAUUAUUAAUUUUUGUUAAUAUUCUUAACAUUGUUUAUUACUAUCAUCAUAAUCAUCAUAAUCCUCACCUAUACUAUUGCUGCAGUUGUUACAUAUUCUAUCUAUCUAUCUAUCUAUUCAUAACCAAACUGCAGACUUCAUUAAAGAAAUCCUGCCAUGUACAGGUGUCAUUCAACACUGUUGUUAGACAGGAUUUUGACGCUUAUAAUACUGCAAAAUAAAUGUUUUCCGAGAAUGACCAAUCAUUCAGAUUUCAGAUUAAUGGUAUCUGGCAACUCUCCGCAUUUG
This is a long non-coding RNA of Passer domesticus (house sparrow), 5911 nucleotides long. RefSeq lists it as uncharacterized. The transcript is spliced from 5 exons. The record is from RefSeq and is a predicted model, not a curated record. Lineage: Eukaryota; Metazoa; Chordata; Aves; Passeriformes; Passeridae.